Molecule: long non-coding RNA, 389 nt
Organism: Gasterosteus aculeatus aculeatus (three-spined stickleback)
Lineage: Eukaryota; Metazoa; Chordata; Actinopteri; Perciformes; Gasterosteidae
Source: Ensembl
AGAACGCAUAUUGAGAAACGGCCAGUGUAAUACGACUACUGGACGCGAGGGGCGAGCGAGAGCGAAAUGCAGGAAGUGUUCCACGUAUUAAAGCAGGGGGGUCCAAACUUUUUUCACUGAGGGCCACAGACAGAAAAAUAUGCGAAAGGUUGAGCCGCUCACUAAAGUUAAGGUAUAUCACCUCUAGUGUAUUAACAGUAAUACAAAUCAAUCAAUCAAAUGUAGGUAAAUUAUGUUUGAUAAUUGAAUAAACUUAAAGAAAAAAAACUGCAUAAAUCACAUCUCUCCAUUAAUGGGUUUUCAUUUUUUUUACGAAAAGGGUUGGCAGCUCAUCCUCAGAUUGCUUCUUUGUCAGGAUGGGGACCCCCUUCACAGCCCUGUAUAAAGAG